This 253-nucleotide ribosomal RNA is filed under the name uncultured bacterium. RNAcentral's name for it is "partial 16S ribosomal RNA". It matches the Rfam family "Bacterial small subunit ribosomal RNA", at positions 524 to 776 of the family's 1533-position model. The record is from RNAcentral.
UACAGAGGUGUCAAGCGUUGUUCGGAGUCAUUGGGCGUAAAGCGUGCGUAGGUGGCGCGCUAAGUCAGGUGUGAAAUUUCGGAGCUUAACUCCGAAACUGCAUUUGAUACUGGCGUGCUUGAGGACUGGAGAGGAGACUGGAAUUCAUGGUGUAGCAGUGAAAUGCGUAGAGAUCAUGAGGAAGACCAGUGGCGAAGGCGGGUCUCUGGACAGUUCCUGACACUGAGGCACGAAGGCCAGGGGAGCAAACGGG